UUCUUUUAGUAUUAAAUUUAAGGUAUAGCCUGCUCAAUGAUUUAUUUAAAUAGCCGCGGUAUCUUAUCGUGCUAAGGUAGCAUAAUCAAUUGUCUCUUAAUUGGGGUCUAGUAUGAAAGGUUGAACGAAGAAUUAACUUUUUUAAUUAAAUUUUUUUAAAUUUUAUUUCUUAGUCAAAAAGCUAAGAUAAACUUAUGGGACGAUAAGACCCUAUAGAAUUUUAUUUUCAUUAAUAUUAAAUAAAGGUUGGAUAAUUUAUUUUUAUUUUUAUUAAUGAAAAUUUGGUUGGGGUGAUUGUUAUAAAUUUAUAACUAUAAUUUGCUUUAAUUCACUAAUUAGUGAAUUAUUGAUCCUAAUUUUUAGAUUAAAAGGACAAAUUACCUUAGGGAUAACAGCGUAAUAUUUUUGGAAAGUACUUAUUUAUAAAAAUGAUUGCGA
RNAcentral lists this ribosomal RNA (438 nucleotides) under Copium teucrii. Its description in RNAcentral is "partial 16S ribosomal RNA". Lineage: Eukaryota; Metazoa; Arthropoda; Insecta; Hemiptera; Tingidae. The record is from RNAcentral.